UGUUCAGUGGGANCUUAACCAUUGGAAGC
RNAcentral lists this non-coding RNA (29 nucleotides) under Homo sapiens (human). Lineage: Eukaryota; Metazoa; Chordata; Mammalia; Primates; Hominidae. The record is from RNAcentral.